Chelonoidis abingdonii (Abingdon island giant tortoise) is the source of this 545-nucleotide non-coding RNA. The record is from RefSeq and is a predicted model, not a curated record. NCBI's taxonomy places the organism in Eukaryota, Metazoa, Chordata, Testudines, Testudinidae.
CUAUUGGUCACAAGCAUCAAUUUUUUUCAACUAGGGCACCAGAAAAAGUUUGAAAAACACUGCUCUAUACAAUAAGUUACAGGCUUGAUACAGGCAUUAAUAGAUAAGGUUUAGCAGAAUUAGGCAGGUCAGCAGAUUCCAACAUCCCACUUUAUGUCCUUGAGGCCUUAAGUUCCAAAUGCAUUGUUGUCCACUGAAUUAUUUAGCCUGGUAGUACGUUUGCAAGGCCCUUAGAUGAGUUUUGAGAUGAAGGAAAGCAGAAUACAAUCACAUGCUCCACCUACUUCUUCAUACAAUGAGGCUACCGAGUAGGCUUGUAACUCACUCUUUUAUUGCCUGCCACUACAAAGAACAGAUGGACUGAAGCAAGGAAGGUCUUCAGCUGGCAACUAGAAUAAGUUUAAGGACAGCACCACAUAAAUAUAUUUUUCACUUCAAUUAUUUCUGUAGUCUAAUUAUGGAGAAGUCUAUAGGAAACCACUCUUAUGAAAACCUUAGUGGCUUCAGUUUUCUAAAACUGACACUUCGCAGAAGGCAACUAACAU